AAGGUUUCCGUAGGUGAACCUGCGGAAGGAUCAUUAUUGAAUGAAUUUGGUGUGGUUGUUGCUGGCCCUCUUGGGGGCAUGUGCACACCUACCAAUCCUCAUCUCUCCACCUGUGCACCUCUUGUAGAUUUGGAAUUGAUUAUCCGAGGUAACUCGGUCKUGAGGACUGCUAGCACUUAGCUGGCUUUCUUUGCAAUUCCAGGUCUAUGUUUUUCAUAUACCCCAUUGUAUGUAACAGAAUGUAUCAUUGGGCCUUGUGCCUAUAAACCWUAUACAACUUUCAGCAACGGAUCUCUUGGCUCUCGCAUCGAUGAAGAACGCAGCGAAAUGCGAUAAGUAAUGUGAAUUGCAGAAUUCAGUGAAUCAUCGAAUCUUUGAACGCACCUUGCGCUCCUUGGUAUUCCGAGGAGCAUGCCUGUUUGAGUGUCAUUAAAUUCUCAACCAUUAUCAACUUUUGCUGAUAAUGGCUUGGAUGUGGGGGUCUAUUUUGCYGGCUUCUCAGMUAGUCAGCUCCCCUUAAAUGCAUUAGCUGGUGCCCCGCGUGGACUGUCUAYUGGUGUGAUAAUUAUCUACGCUAUAGACAUCUGCAAUCAUAUGGGUUUGCRCUGCYUCUAACAGUCUGUUGAUUCAGACAAUAMAUGACAAUUUGACCUCAAAUCAGGUAGGACUACCCGCUGAACUUAA
This 684-nucleotide ribosomal RNA is filed under the name Hebeloma luteicystidiatum. RNAcentral describes it as "eukaryotic LSU rRNA". Lineage: Eukaryota; Fungi; Basidiomycota; Agaricomycetes; Agaricales; Hymenogastraceae. The record is from RNAcentral.